UUCCUCUGAAUCACUGAUGUAAAGUGGCACUGUAAGGCAAUUGUGGUCCUAGGACACACCAGGAAGAUUUUUGCAGGAGUAAUAAAGUUUUAGUACCUCAGUAUAUGAUGCUUAUGUGGUCUCAGGAAUAAUAAUGAUCAGCUUUUAAAUGGGUGUUUCAGAAGAAAGAACUGAAACUUAGAAUAUCUGUCCAAAAGGGCCAUGGAAAUGACAGGAUUACUUGUAUUACAGAAGAAAGUCAAAAGUUGUUUCCUUGUGCCUACUACAGUGAAGGCUGAAGAAAGAGGGGCAAAAGGAGGUAGGAAGCUCUGACAAGGUGUCUUCAGGAAACAUCAAAGCAAAAAAGAAAUUUUGCUGCUGAAGGACAAAAGAGGAGACAUGACUGCUAUUUCAUAUCAUCACUAUUUUUGCCAGCGAACUCUUGUGAUUGUACUGCCCUGAUUUGCAAUAUUUGCUUCCAUCCCAGAGGCACUACUGAACAUAUAAAUGACUGCUUUUUGUGCAAAGAUCACACAAGUUACACAGGCUUUCAAAAGAACCUGAAAAGACACUUAGAAUAUUUUGAGUCUUUAUGCUUAGUUGCAAUUAAAACCUCCACCAAACUGGACCGUGCCUUCACUGCUUAACAUUCAACUGUGAUGACCAGUCUGAGCUCACUCUCAUCAGGGAUACUUGCUUGGGCAUCUUUAAAGAAAAUGGAUAGAAAUCUCCUCCUAUCAUAUGUCACAGCUGAACUUACUCUCCAUUCCAAAUGAACAUCCUUUUUACAUGGACACUCAAUGAGCAUUUCAAGCUUCUAGACUGAUCUCUUGUUUCACUAUUGCACAGGAAUCUGUACAACUGGCAUUGUAGUCUUUGUGCUGAGGCGUAGUGGUGGAAAUCUCUGCAGUGUGUAUGCCUGGAAGAUACUGCUCCUCAGAAAUAAUGUGCCUAUGGCAGCAACAGGAGGACACACAAAGUUAAUUCCCCCUAUUAUCCACUGGAAAAAGACAUUUGAAAUGAACAGAUUUUAAAAUGAACAGAUAGAGAGUACAUCAGCAAAUUGCUCAUCUCUCCAAUUCGUGCUAUUGAAAGAGCACUUGGGGACUGAUUUGUGAUAAUCUGGUGAUUCACUGGAAAGAGCUGAAGGAACAAUGCCCCCCCUGUGGACAAUGAUAAGCAAGAAUGAGAUUUCUUAUUACUGCCGAUGUACCUGCUGAAAUUACUGCUCAAGUACUUUUUGCUAUUGAUGUUUUUCCUUCUGUUGUAAUUAAACAACACCAGAACACUGCCUUCUGAUGUGUUUCAAUUAAACCAAAG
Molecule: long non-coding RNA, 1299 nt
Filed under: Zonotrichia albicollis (white-throated sparrow)
Lineage: Eukaryota; Metazoa; Chordata; Aves; Passeriformes; Passerellidae
Description: lncRNA (ENSZALG00000000199.1)
Source: RNAcentral